GGAUGUAGUGGGAAGAAAAGAAGAAUCAAACCAGUGUUCUUGUAAAAGCUUAACUUCUAAUCGGCUCUAGGUUCCUGGUUGAUGAAAGCAAGAACAAGUCUAAAGACAGCUAAAAAAAAAAAAAUAAUAAAAUCACACAGCUGUCAAGGGAAAUUGGGAGUUGUUUUCCCUCAAGCUGUCCUCAAUGUCACCAUGUGGGCAUGGCGUGGUUUGUUUUGAUUGGGCCAUUAACUUGUAUCACUGAUAUGUGGUGGCCUCUGCAGUUUAAGACGCGGAAUCAAGGACUGAUUCGAACAAGAGGGAAAGGACUGGUCCUUUUUACUCAGGCAACUUAUUUUGGGUGCCCGGAGGGGCUGGGCACAGCUCUAAGCAUCACUGGGCAACAGUGACCAAGGUGUCUGUCCUACAGAACUUCACACACCGGGCCCUGAAGACUCAUGCAGAGAUGGGUGAACAACAGGCAGUAGGAGGUAUCAACUUGAGUGAAAAAGCAGAGACUUCAGUGACCCACAGGAGGUGUUAAGAACACAUGAACAGGGGCUCCUGUGGGCUGAUAAUUGUUGAAACUGCCUGCAAGUCUACCUUAGAGUACCAGAAAAUAAGGCUAGACUCUUUGGCACAGAAAGGGGCAGAGAGAUCAGGUAGAGCACCCCAGAAGACCCUGCCAGUCCUUCUCAAAUCAGUGCAUGCCGCUGACAUCCGGAUCUGGGCCCACUGAGGGUUUACUGUGGCUGUGACCUUCCUGGAAAAUAUGGUACACGACUACUUCCAGAAAAGGGGUCUGAAAGAAGAAUAAACAAGGCAUUGAGAAUCAGGAGAACUGAGCGCCAAUCUUAAUUCAUCUGUUUGACUUUGGGUAUUCUAAC
This 866-nucleotide long non-coding RNA is filed under the name Chinchilla lanigera (long-tailed chinchilla). Its description in RNAcentral is "lncRNA (ENSCLAG00000026871.1)". The record is from RNAcentral. Lineage: Eukaryota; Metazoa; Chordata; Mammalia; Rodentia; Chinchillidae.